UACGUAGGGUGCGAGCGUUAAUCGGAAUUACUGGGCAUAAAGCGUGCGCAGGCGGUCUGUUAAGACCGAUGUGAAAUCCCCGGGCUUAACCUGGGAACUGCAUUGGUGACUGGCAGGCUUUGAGUGUGGCAGAGGGAGGUAGAAUUCCACGUGUAGCAGUGAAAUGCGUAGAGAUGUGGAGGAAUACCGAUGGCGAAGGCAGCCUCCUGGGCCAACACUGACGCUCAUGCACGAAAGCGUGGGGAGCAAACAGG
RNAcentral lists this ribosomal RNA (254 nucleotides) under uncultured bacterium. RNAcentral describes it as "partial 16S ribosomal RNA". It matches the Rfam family "Bacterial small subunit ribosomal RNA", at positions 524 to 776 of the family's 1533-position model. The record is from RNAcentral.